CACGACUACAUUAGAUACCCCCGUAGUCCCAGCCCUAAACGAUGCGCGUUAGGUGUAUCGGUGACCACGAGUCACCGAGGUGCCGAAGGGAAACCGUGAAACGUGCCGCCUGGGAAGUACGGUCGCAAGGCUGAAACUUAAAGGAAUUGGCGGGGGAGCACAACAACGGGUGGAGCUUGCGGUUUAAUUGGAUUCAACGCCGGAAAUCUUACCGGGACCGACAGCAACAUGAAGGCCAAGCUGAAGACUUUGCCGGAUUAGCUG
This 264-nucleotide ribosomal RNA is filed under the name uncultured archaeon. Its description in RNAcentral is "partial 16S ribosomal RNA". It matches the Rfam family "Archaeal small subunit ribosomal RNA", at positions 718 to 982 of the family's 1478-position model. The record is from RNAcentral.